UGAUGGCGAGCGGCGGACGGGUGAGGAAUACGUAGGAACCUGCCCUUAAGCGGGGGACAACCAAGGGAAACUUUGGCUAAUACCGCAUAAUCUCGAGAGAGGAAGGCUGCCCCCGGACUUGAUCCGGGGGUGGCACUUGAGGAGGGGCCUGCGUCCGAUUAGCUAGUUGGCAGGGUAAAAGCCUACCAAGGCAAUGAUCGGUAACUGGUCUGAGAGGACGGCCAGUCACACUGGGACUGAGACACGGCCCAGACUCCUACGGGAGGCAGCAGUGGGGAAUAUUGGACAAUGGGGGCAACCCUGAUCCAGCGAUGCCGCGUGAGUGAAGAAGGCCUUCGGGUCGUAAAGCUCUUUAGGUUGGGAAGAAGUGUAUAGGCUGAACACGCCUGUGCAUUGACGGUACCGACAGAAUAAGCACCGGCAAACUCUGUGCCAGCAGCCGCGGUAAUACAGAGGGUGCGAGCGUUAAUCGGAUUAACUGGGCGUAAAGGGCGCGUAGGCGGUAAGAUGUGUGUGAUGUGAAAGCCCCGGGCUUAACCUGGGAAGGGCA
This 550-nucleotide ribosomal RNA is filed under the name uncultured bacterium. RNAcentral describes it as "bacterial SSU rRNA". It matches the Rfam family "Bacterial small subunit ribosomal RNA", at positions 86 to 625 of the family's 1533-position model. The record is from RNAcentral.